RNAcentral lists this ribosomal RNA (441 nucleotides) under uncultured bacterium. RNAcentral's name for it is "partial 16S ribosomal RNA". It matches the Rfam family "Bacterial small subunit ribosomal RNA", at positions 338 to 795 of the family's 1533-position model. The record is from RNAcentral.
CCUACGGGAGGCAGCAGUGGGGGAUAUUGCACAAUGGGGGAAACCCUGAUGCAGCGACGCCGCGUGGGUGAAGAAGUAUUUCGGUAUGUAAAGCCCUAUCAGCAGGGAAGAAAGAAGACGGUACCUGACUAAGAAGCCCCGGCUAACUACGUGCCAGCAGCCGCGGUAAUACGUAGGGGGCGAGCGUUAUCCGGAUUCACUGGGUGUAAAGGGAGCGUAGACGGCCGUGCAAGCCAGGAGUGAAAGCCCGGGGCCCAACCCCGGGACUGCUCUUGGAACUGUGCGGCUGGAGUGCGGGAGGGGCAGGCGGAAUUCCUGGUGGAGCGGUGAAAUGCGUAGAUAUCAGGAGGAACACCGGCGGCGAAGGCGGCCUGCUGGACCGCGACUGACGUUGAGGCUCGAAAGCGUGGGGAGCGAACAGGAUUAGAUACCCUUGUAGUC